Small nucleolar RNA from Mesocricetus auratus (golden hamster), 82 nucleotides. Ensembl annotates it as predicted gene, 23008. The record is from Ensembl. Lineage: Eukaryota; Metazoa; Chordata; Mammalia; Rodentia; Cricetidae.
CCACGUGCACCUGAUGAGAACUCUGCUGCUGAGACCGUGUGAUUGCUCAAAGACUCAAAGUAAACGCCCUGAUGCACGCACA